CUUAAAAUGAAAUUGUAUAAAAUACAUUUAUUUUUUUUUAUGUUACUUUGCAUCGCGGCGUCAGUAAUUUCUAUAAAUAUACAACCUACCAUGCACCAUCAUGAUGGAAAAGCUGGUUGUCGAUGGUUUAACAACGGAAAUGGCAAUAAUAAUAGUACUAAUAGCACAAACGCUGGAUAAAAUGAAGAAUCUUAAUGCAGAUAAACCAAUAAGAAUGAAAAAUAUAAAAUGAAAAUAAAAUUAUACAAUAAAUAUAAAAUCAAUAAAAUAUUAUAGAACAAUUAUUUUUAUGCAAAAAACAAAUAAAUAAAAAAUAUAUUUACAUUA
This is a long non-coding RNA of Apis laboriosa (Himalayan honeybee), 327 nucleotides long. RefSeq lists it as uncharacterized. The record is from RefSeq and is a predicted model, not a curated record. Lineage: Eukaryota; Metazoa; Arthropoda; Insecta; Hymenoptera; Apidae. The transcript has 3 exons.